GAAACGGAGCGGCUAAGUGACUUGCCCAAGUCGCAGAAGAAGUCUGUGGUGGAACAGAAGUUGAACACAGGUCUCCCACGGACCAGGCUAGCACUGUAACCACUGGACAAGUCUUCCUUUCAUCCUUUUUGUGCUCUGUUUCCCACACUGCUUUGGAGCAUCAAAAUAUAGUUGACUGUGGAAGCUCCAGAGUAACACCUUCAAGGUGCAACAGCGCACAGCUUUGAAACUGACAAGUUGAAGCUUUGAUUUGUAUUCUUCUGACAGCCUGGGUCCUUCAGAUGCUCCUUUUAAAGUGAUAGAGGUGGAUGACAGAAUAGGAACUGUAUGAGUGGUGACAGUCCAAGAUUCCCCUCUGCAUUCUGCCCUCCGCACUGACCUGGAAGGGGACAUCCACAGGAAAGACAAGAAACCUUGGAGUAUCAUUUACCCCCAUGGUAAGAGAUCCACCAUUCAAAGAGACAAAGAGCGCUGUCCUCUUUUUGUCCCCUGAUGGAUAACAAAGGAGUUAUCUUCUUCUUAUAGUCCAGUAAACCAUUGAAAUGCACUCUUCUGAAGUAUAUCCCCAAAUAAAGUUCUCUUCCCCUGCUGUUAUGUUCUAGGGAGCUG
Molecule: long non-coding RNA, 609 nt
Organism: Mauremys mutica (yellowpond turtle)
Lineage: Eukaryota; Metazoa; Chordata; Testudines; Geoemydidae
Exons: 4
Source: RefSeq, a predicted model, not a curated record